GACGAGGUGGCCGAGUGGUUAAGAUGAUGGACUGCUAAACCAUUGUGCUCUGCACGCAUGGGUUCGAAUCCCAUUCUCGUCG
Gasterosteus aculeatus (three-spined stickleback) is the source of this 82-nucleotide non-coding RNA. Lineage: Eukaryota; Metazoa; Chordata; Actinopteri; Perciformes; Gasterosteidae. The record is from Rfam.